GGGAAUGUGGCUUAGUGGUAGAGUGCUUGCCUAGCAUGCAUGCAACCCUGGGUUCAAUUCCUCAGUACCA
RNAcentral lists this transfer RNA (70 nucleotides) under Dipodomys ordii (Ord's kangaroo rat). It matches the Rfam family "tRNA". Rfam says of the family: Transfer RNA (tRNA) molecules are approximately 80 nucleotides in length. The record is from Rfam by way of RNAcentral. Lineage: Eukaryota; Metazoa; Chordata; Mammalia; Rodentia; Heteromyidae.